AAAUAACUGUAAUUAAAGACUAAGCCGUGUGGGCAUCAUAGAGUUGGAUCUCCUUUAGAGAUUGCUGAGUUUUGAUUAGAUUGUUUCACUCUUCACAGUUUGUCAUUAUUGAUGCCUUUGCACUUCUAUCUGCUUUCUGGGGUCAUUUGUACUUAAUCUUGUGAGAUAAAGAAAUAUUAAUCCUGAUUAUGUUUUCUCUCUUCCUUUUGUAUUUUCUGUUGAUAUAUAUGUAUAUCUGUGUAUAUGUUAUGCUGUUUUAACUAUCAUUGUCUUCAAAUUUGUCUUCUGGAUUCAGGUUACCAUUCAAUAUAAUUUCCUUCCCCCAAUAAAACUUAGCUCCCACCCACCUCCUUCACUGAGGAGUUGUCAAAUAUAUUACAUUUUUGUUACAGGUCCAACAAUCUUAUUACGUGCAAGUCUUACACAGCUGCUUCUUAACUGUGAAGGAAGAAAUAAGUCGUUUAUGUUUAUUUUGUACUCACAUGGUUACCUUUAUUGGUGUUCAUUUUUAAAAGUCAUCGUUCUGAUGAAUGUAAUUAUGCUUUUAGUCUGAAGUUUUCCUUAAGGACUUCCUAUAAAGGAUGUCUCCAGCAGGGAAUUCUCUUCAGUUUCCUUUACUUGACUAUAUUUUAUUUCCUUCUCAUUUCCUUUGUUGUAUCUGAUGAGAAUGUAGCUCAAUGUGAUUCUUUGAACAUUGUAGAUCAGUGUUUUCUUGGUGCUUUCAUUUUUUUCUUUUCUCUUUGUAUACCUUCACCAUGUAUCCAGAUGUGCCUCUCUGAGUUUUAUGAGUAUCUUGAAUUUGUAGUAUUUCUUAACAAACCUGUUGAAAACAUUACUUGAAGAAAUAAUUGAGCAUUUUUAAAUGCCACAAGUUCUUACUUUUCUUUACUGGUCUUUUUAAUAAAUGAUUUUUAUCUGUC
This 920-nucleotide long non-coding RNA is filed under the name Mus musculus (house mouse). RNAcentral's name for it is "long non-coding RNA chr5:104500170-104501090". Lineage: Eukaryota; Metazoa; Chordata; Mammalia; Rodentia; Muridae. The record is from RNAcentral.